Molecule: ribosomal RNA, 468 nt
Filed under: uncultured bacterium
Lineage: Bacteria
Description: partial 16S ribosomal RNA
Rfam family: Bacterial small subunit ribosomal RNA
Source: RNAcentral
GACGAACGCUGGCGGCGUGCUUAACACAUGCAAGUCGAACGGAAAGGCCCUGCUGUUGUUGCUCGCUCGAGUGGCGAACGGGUGAGUAACACGUGAGUAACCUGCCCUUGACUUUGGGCUAAAUUCAGGAAACUGGGGCUCAUACCGGAUAUGAGCUCUUGCUGCAUGGGGUGGGAUGGAAAGUUCCGGCGGUUGUGGAUGGACUCGCGGCUUAUCAGCUGGUUGGUGGGGUAGUGGCUUACCAAGGCUUUGACGGGUAGCCGGCCUGGGAGGGGGACCGGCAACAUGGGGACUAGGGUAGGCCCCAGUAUCCAAGGGGAGGCAGCGGGGGGGAAUAUGGCAGAAUGGGGGGAAGCCUGAUGCGGCAACCCCGGGUGCGGAAUACCGGCCUUCGGGUGGUAAACCGCUUUAGCCUGUGCCAAGGCGGGAGUGACGGUACUUGGUAAAGAAGCACCGGCUAACUACGUG